RNAcentral lists this ribosomal RNA (117 nucleotides) under Periophthalmus magnuspinnatus. The record is from RNAcentral. Lineage: Eukaryota; Metazoa; Chordata; Actinopteri; Gobiiformes; Gobiidae.
AAUAUAGACCAUACCCCAUUUUCGAUAACCAAUCCCAUUUGAUCUCAGAAGCUAAGCAGGGUUAGGCCUGGUUAGUACUUGAAUGGGAGAUUGCUGAGAAUAUCAGAUGUUACAGUG